GACGAACGCUGGCGGCGUGCUUAACACAUGCCAGUCGAACGGUGAACGAGGGAGCUUGCUCCCUCCGGAUCAGUGGCGAACGGGUGAGUAACACGUGAGCAAUCUGCCCCGAACUCUGGGAUAAGCGUUGGAAACGACGUCUAAUACCGGAUACGACGCGGGAGGGCAUCCUCUCCGCGUGGAAAGAACUUCGGUUUGGGAUGAGCUCGCGGCCUAUCAGCUUGUUGGUGAGGUAACGGCUCACCAAGGCGACGACGGGUAGCCGGCCUGAGAGGGUGACCGGCCACACUGGGACUGAGACACGGCCCAGACUCCUACGGGAGGCAGCAGUGGGGAAUAUUGCACAAUGGGCGCAAGCCUGAUGCAGCAACGCCGCGUGAGGGACGACGGCCUUCGGGUUGUAAACCUCUUUUAGCAGGGAAGAAGCGAAAGUGACGGUACCUGCAGAAAAAGCACCGGCUAACUACGUG
This 470-nucleotide ribosomal RNA is filed under the name uncultured bacterium. RNAcentral describes it as "partial 16S ribosomal RNA". It matches the Rfam family "Bacterial small subunit ribosomal RNA", at positions 28 to 507 of the family's 1533-position model. The record is from RNAcentral.